RNAcentral lists this small RNA (31 nucleotides) under Bombyx mori (domestic silkworm). RNAcentral's name for it is "ovarian small RNA-37359". Lineage: Eukaryota; Metazoa; Arthropoda; Insecta; Lepidoptera; Bombycidae. The record is from RNAcentral.
UUCCUUUUGGCCGCGUCGCACAAGACGCAGU